GAAAAAAAAAAAAAAAAAGGACAUACAAUUUUAAAAUAAAAUAAAAUAUUUCAAAAUGUAAGACAAAUCUACAUUCAUCAAAGUGCACUGUAAGCCUUCAGUCUGAAGUGUUGGAUCAUAAAAUAUUCUCAAGGAUAAAUUAUAAAGAAAAAAAUUGACAGCUGUCAAAACUAAACCCUUUCUAGCUUUCAUGUAAUACAUCAUUUAUAUGUUAUAUAUUUCAUUAUUUCUAGCAUCAAAUCUCCCCCAAACUUUAUCCCUAUAAACAAGUGUUUCCCAAACUAUGUUCUGCCAGGCCUGAAUGGUUGUUCCCACUAACUAGUAGUCCAACACAUGAAUUAAUCUUCAUCAAAAAAUCAGCUAAGUGUUCCACGCUCAAAAUGUGCGAAGUGUUUCGUUAAAGAAAAUGUUUCGGAACCACUAGUUUCAAAGAUGUGUGAAAUAGUAACUGUAGUGUACUAGUUGCACCAAGCAAUUAAGACAUGAUAGAUGUACAUUCUGUACUUAGGGGACAAAAAAAAGUUCUUCAUUAAAACAAAUCAGCAGGGCAAGCUGACAUGACUAGGAUAGUUUAACUUAAAUGUUUUUAGUGCUUUUACUUUAAAAAAAAAAAUUAUUACUUUAAAAAAAUUGGUCUGAUUUCAAUUUAAAAAAAAAAAAAAAAAAAGAUUCUUACAAGAUAACCAAAAACAAACUAGACCAUAAAAGUUCAAAUGUAGCUUGAUUUUAACCAAUUGAAAGUCUCUACACAGGUUCAAAUGUAGCUUGAUUUUAACCAAUUGAAAGUCUCUACACAGGUUCAAAUGUAGCUUGAUUUUAA
This is a non-coding RNA of Biomphalaria pfeifferi, 820 nucleotides long. NCBI's taxonomy places the organism in Eukaryota, Metazoa, Mollusca, Gastropoda, Planorbidae. The record is from the annotation of a GenBank genome assembly.